Molecule: ribosomal RNA, 440 nt
Filed under: uncultured bacterium
Lineage: Bacteria
Description: partial 16S ribosomal RNA
Rfam family: Bacterial small subunit ribosomal RNA
Source: RNAcentral
CCUACGUGAGGCAGCAGUGGGGGAUAUUGCACAAUGGGGGGAACCCUGAUGCAGCGACGCCGCGUGGGUGAAGAAGCGCCUCGGCGCGUAAAGCUCUGUCAGUCGGGAAGCAAAUGACGGUACCUGAAGCAGAAGCCCCGGCUAACUACGUGCCAGCAGCCGCGGCAAUACGUAGGGGGCCAUCGUUAUCCGGAUUUACUGGGGGUAAAGGGGGCGCAGACGGCGAUGCAAGCCAGGAGUGAAAGCCCGGGGGCCAACCCCGGGACUGCUCUUGGAACUGCGUGGCUAGAGUGCAGGAGGGGCAGGCGGAAUGCCUGGUGUAGCGGUGAAAUGCGUAGAUAUCAGGAGGAACACCGGUGGCGAAGGCAGCCUGCUGGACUGCAACUGACGUUGAGGCCCGAAAGCGUGGGUAGCAAACAGGAUUAGAUACCCCUGUAGUC